Molecule: ribosomal RNA, 300 nt
Filed under: uncultured Pyrodictium sp.
Lineage: Archaea; Thermoproteati; Thermoproteota; Thermoprotei; Desulfurococcales; Pyrodictiaceae
Description: bacterial SSU rRNA
Rfam family: Bacterial small subunit ribosomal RNA
Source: RNAcentral
GUUAAGGUGGUGCGCGGAGCGGCGGGAAGACGACCCGGGCAAACGUUGUUGGGAAUCACUGGGCUUAAAGGGCGCGGAGGCGGGGGACCAAGUCCGGGGUGAAAUCUUUCGGCUUAACCGGAAAAGGGCCUUGGAUACUGGUGCUCUAGAGGGAGGUAGGGGUCUGUGGAACUUCUGGUGGAGCGGUGAAAUGCGUUGAUAUCAGAAGGAACGCCGGUGGCGAAAGCGACGGACUGGAUCUCUUCUGACGCUGAUGCGCGAAAGCCAGGGGAGCAAACGGGAUUAGAUACCCUGGUAGUC